CUACGGAGGGUACAAGCGUUAUUCGGAAUCACUGGGCGUAAAGGACGCGUAGGCGGGUUGGCAAGUCAGAUGUGAAAUCCUACAGCUUAACUGUAGAACUGCAUUUGAAACUGCUAACCUAGAGUAUGGGAGGGGGAGAUGGAAUUAGUGGUGUAGGGGUAAAAUCCGUAGAUAUCACUAGGAAUACCGAAAGCGAAGGCGAUCUCCUGGAACAUAACUGACGCUAAGGCGUGAAAGCGUGGGGAGCAAACAGGAUUAGAAACCCCUGUAGUCC
RNAcentral lists this ribosomal RNA (274 nucleotides) under uncultured bacterium. RNAcentral's name for it is "partial 16S ribosomal RNA". It matches the Rfam family "Bacterial small subunit ribosomal RNA", at positions 523 to 796 of the family's 1533-position model. The record is from RNAcentral.